UGAAUACGAGACGCUAAGGCGUCGAAGUAGUGUAUGUCAUACUUCCAAGAAAAGCUUGCACUGUCAUAGAUAAAAAACGCCUGUACCAUAACCGACACAGGUGGGUAGGUAGAGUAUACUAAGGGGCGCGAGAUAACUCUCUCUAAGGAACUCGGCAAAAUAACUCCGUAACUUCGGGAGAAGGAGUGCCUUAUUCGUAAGGUUGCAAUAACAAGAUCCAAGCAACUGUUUAUCAAAAACACAGGUCUCCGCUAAGUCGUAAGACGAUGUAUGGGGGCUGACGCCUGCCCAGUGCCAGAAGGUUAAAGAAGUUGGUUAGCAAUUGCGAAGCUGAUAACUGAAGCCCUGGUGAACGGCGGCCGUAACUAUAACGGUCCUAAGGUAGCGAAAUUCCUUGUCGGGUAAGUUCCGACCCGCACGAAAGGCGUAAUGAUUUGGAUACUGUCUCGGAGAGGGGCUCGGUGAAAUAGACUUGUCUGUGAAGAUGCGGACUACCUGCACCAGGACAGAAAGACCCUAUGAAGCUUUACUGUAACUUGAAAUUGAAAUUGGACUUUAUUCGCGCAGUAUAGGUGGGAGGCGUUGAUUAUAAUCUUGUGGGAUUAUUGGAGCCAUCAGUGAGAUACCACUCUUGUAAUGUUAGAUUUCUAACUUUGAAUCAUUAUCUGGUCAAAGAACAGUUUCAGGCGGGCAGUUUGACUGGGGCGGUCGCCUCCUAAACGGUAACGGAGGCGUACAAAGGUUUCCUCUGAACGGUUAGAAAUCGUAUCUAGAGUGUAAAGGCAUAAGGAAGCUUGACUGUGAGACCUACAAGUCGAGCAGGGACGAAAGUCGGUCUUAGUGAUCUGACGGUACUGAGUGGAAAGGCCGUCACUCAACGGAUAAAAGUUACUCUAAGGAUAACAGGCUGAUCUCCCCCAAGAGUUCACAUCGACGGGGAGGUUUGGCACCUGAUGUCGGCUCAUCGCAUCCUGGGGCGGUAGUACGUCCCAAGGGUUGGGCUGUUCGCCCAUGAAAGCGGUACGCGAGCUGGGUUCAGAACGUCGUGAGACAGUUCGGUCCAUAUCCGGUGUAGGCGUUAGAAUAUUGAGAGGAGCCUUCUUUAGUACGAGAGGACCGAGAAGGACAUACCUCUGGUGUACCAGUUAUCGUGCCAACGGUAAACGCUGGGUAGCUAUGUAUGGAGUGGAUAACCGCUGAAAGCAUCUAAGUGGGAAGCCCACCUCAAGAUAAGUAUUCUCAUC
RNAcentral lists this ribosomal RNA (1244 nucleotides) under metagenome. RNAcentral's name for it is "bacterial LSU rRNA". It matches the Rfam family "Bacterial large subunit ribosomal RNA", at positions 1564 to 2818 of the family's 2925-position model. The record is from RNAcentral.